UACGUAGGGGGCUAGCGUUGUCCGGAAUCAUUGGGCGUAAAGAGCGUGUAGGCGGCCCGGUAAGUCCGCUGUGAAAGUCGGGGGCUCAACCCUCGAAUGCCGGUGGAUACUGUCGGGCUAGAGUGCGGAAGAGGCGAGUGGAAUUCCUGGUGUAGCGGUGAAAUGCGCAGAUAUCAGGAGGAACACCAGUGGCGAAGGCGGCACUCUGGGCCGGUACUGACGCUGAGGAGCGAAAGCGUGGGGAGCGAACAGG
RNAcentral lists this ribosomal RNA (253 nucleotides) under uncultured bacterium. Its description in RNAcentral is "partial 16S ribosomal RNA". It matches the Rfam family "Bacterial small subunit ribosomal RNA", at positions 524 to 776 of the family's 1533-position model. The record is from RNAcentral.